This 407-nucleotide ribosomal RNA is filed under the name Oxyrrhis marina. RNAcentral's name for it is "partial Bacterial small subunit ribosomal RNA". It matches the Rfam family "Bacterial small subunit ribosomal RNA", at positions 14 to 423 of the family's 1533-position model. Lineage: Eukaryota; Dinophyceae; Oxyrrhinales; Oxyrrhinaceae. The record is from RNAcentral.
UGAUCAUGGCUCAGAUUGAACGCUGGCGGCAGGCCUAACACAUGCAAGUCGAGCGGUAACAGAAAGUAGCUUGCUACUUUGCUGACGAGCGGCGGACGGGUGAGUAAUGCUUGGGAACAUGCCUUGAGGUGGGGGACAACAGUUGGAAACGACUGCUAAUACCGCAUAAUGUCUACGGACCAAAGGGGGCUUCGGCUCUCGCCUUUAGAUUGGCCCAAGUGGGAUUAGCUAGUUGGUGAGGUAAUGGCUCACCAAGGCGACGAUCAGUAGCUGGUCUGAGAGGAUGAUCAGCCACAUUGGGACUGAGACACGGCCCAAACUCCUACGGGAGGCAGCAGUGGGGAAUAUUGCGCAAUGGGCGAAAGCCUGACGCAGCCAUGCCGCGUGUGUGAAGAAGGCCUUAGGGU